Molecule: long non-coding RNA, 505 nt
Organism: Nicotiana tabacum (common tobacco)
Lineage: Eukaryota; Viridiplantae; Streptophyta; Magnoliopsida; Solanales; Solanaceae
Source: RefSeq, a predicted model, not a curated record
UAAAUGGCAACUAUUUAUAUUUCAAUUGUAAGAUAGUUUUUGGUUUAUCUAGAAAAGGUCAAUACAUCUAACUCUUAGAUAUCAGAACUCUCCGACCCUAAAAAACCCUACUCUCCUAUUUGCCUCUCUCCCUCGCACCAAUCUGGGCCAAGCCGUCAGCGGCGUUUCGCCAGAUCGUCGUAGCCGGCAACUCCAUCUUCUCUCCUUUCUUUCUCCUUUUUUUGUCAGGUAUCCGAUGAAGCUCGUGAGGAGUUCGCUAAUCUCCGUCGUGCUUUUGAUAAAUGUGGAUCAAGUUCACCUAGGCUCCAGAUUUAGGAAGUGGUGCUCCAUAGGCCAAGAGAUCUUCAUGUAGAAAUAACAAUGCAUAUUAUAUCUAGGACUGCUCAUUAAUAAUUGUUGCUAGAAUUGACUAUCUUUUUGGGUUCAGUUGAAAUAUCUUCAUAAUAUUAAUACAUUUGAUGUACUAUUGGAAUAAUUUUUUUAAAUGAAUAUUUUGGUUAUUUUA